GAUGAAGAACGCAGCAAAAUGCGAUACUUGGUGUGAAUUGCAGAAUCCCGUGAACCAUCGAGUUUUUGAACGCAAGUUGCGCCCGAAGCCUUUUGGCCGAGGGCACGUCUGCCUGGGCGUCACGCAUCGCGUCGCCCCCCACAAUUCUCCGUAAAGGGAACAUGUGUUUUGGGGGCGGAUAUUGGUCUCCCGUGCUCAUGGCGUGGUUGGCCGAAAUAGGAGUCCUUUCGAUGGACGCACGAACUAGUGGUGGUCGUAAAAGCCCUCGUCUUUUGUUUCGUGCUGUUGCUCGCAAGGUAAACUCUUUAAAAACCCCAAUGUGUCGUCUCUUGACGACGCUUCGACCGCGACCCCAGGUCAGGCGGGACUACCCGCUGAGUUUAAGCAUAUCAAUAAGCGGAGGA
RNAcentral lists this unclassified non-coding RNA (404 nucleotides) under soil metagenome. RNAcentral describes it as "partial contains 5.8S ribosomal RNA, internal transcribed spacer 2, and large subunit ribosomal RNA". The stretch from base 1 to 122 matches the Rfam family "5.8S ribosomal RNA", at positions 35 to 154 of the family's 154-position model. The record is from RNAcentral.